This is a non-coding RNA of Ostertagia ostertagi, 71 nucleotides long. The record is from the annotation of a GenBank genome assembly. Lineage: Eukaryota; Metazoa; Nematoda; Chromadorea; Rhabditida; Trichostrongylidae.
UUACCCAACCAAGAAUCGAACACGGGCCUUCCGCUUGUCAGGCAAGGGUGUUACCAUUUCAUUAUCAAAAC